Molecule: ribosomal RNA, 465 nt
Filed under: uncultured bacterium
Lineage: Bacteria
Description: partial 16S ribosomal RNA
Rfam family: Bacterial small subunit ribosomal RNA
Source: RNAcentral
CCUACGGGAGGCAGCAGUGGGGAAUAUUGCGCAAUGGGCGAAAGCCUGACGCAGCGACGCCGCGUGAGGGAUGAAGGUCUUCGGAUCGUAAACCUCUGUCAGCAGGGAAGAACGGUCACUGUACUAAUCAGCAGUGAAUUGACGGUACCUGCAAAGGAAGCACCGGCUAACUCCGUGCCAGCAGCCGCGGUAAUACGGAGGGUGCGAGCGUUAAUCGGAAUUACUGGGCGUAAAGCGCUCGUAGGCGGUAUGUCAAGUCAAGGGUGAAAUCCCCGCGCUCAACGUGGGAACUGCCUUUGAAACUGGCAGACUGGAGUGUGUGAGAGGGUAGUGGAAUUCCAGGUGUAGGGGUGAAAUCCGUAGAUAUCUGGAGGAACAUCAGUGGCGAAGGCGACUAUCUGGCACAUAACUGACGCUGAGGAGCGAAAGCGUGGGUAGCAAACAGGAUUAGAUACCCGAGUAGUC